This 240-nucleotide unclassified non-coding RNA is filed under the name soil metagenome. Its description in RNAcentral is "partial contains 5.8S ribosomal RNA, internal transcribed spacer 2, and large subunit ribosomal RNA". The record is from RNAcentral.
AACGCACGAGACCUGCGGACCUGCGGAGGGAUCAUUAAUGAGAAGCUGCCCCUCGUGGGUAGACCUCCCACCCUCUGUGAACUUACCUUUGUUGCUUUGGCAGGCCCGUCCUCUGGACCGCCGGCUUCGGCUGGCCCGUGCCUGCCAGAGGAUUCCAAACCCUGUCUGUCAGUGUUGUCUGAGUCUAUAUGAAAUCGUUAAAACUUUCAGCAAUGGAUCUCUAGAUCGGAAGAGCACACG